This 1057-nucleotide long non-coding RNA is filed under the name Salmo salar (Atlantic salmon). RNAcentral describes it as "lncRNA (ENSSSAG00000093048.1)". Lineage: Eukaryota; Metazoa; Chordata; Actinopteri; Salmoniformes; Salmonidae. The record is from RNAcentral.
CCGGCUGUGUGUGUUACCAUGUUUACGUCCCAAAAGGGCACCCUAUUCCCUUCAUAUAGUGCACUACUUGUGUCCAGGGCCCAUGGGGAUCUGAUCAAAAGUGGUGCGCUAUAUAGGGAGUAGGGUGCCAUUUGGGACUUAUCCUCUGAGAUGGGUUCAGUUUCUCUCCGGACAGCAAGAUGAACACCGGGGUCACACCCCAGCACUAUAAAGAAGCACCCUUCCUUCCUUCCUUCCUUCUUACUCUCCUUGUCCUUUGUGACAUCACUGACUUGACACAACUUGAAAGUGUAAAAGCUUGAACUCCAUUUUUUCAGUCAUAUCUGAUUCAUUGAUUAUUUCAAGAAAGGAGGCAGAGAGGGAAGAAAGGAGGCAGAGAGGGAAGGAAGGAGGGAACGAGGGGAAAAAGAGGAAGGAUGAGUGAAGAGAGGAGGGAGAGAGGGAAGGAAGGAGGGAACGAGGGAGGGAAGGAAGGAGGGAAGGAAGAGAGGGAAGAAAGGAGGGAAGGAAGAGAGGGAAGAAAAGAGGGAAGGAAGAGAGGGAAGAAAAGAGGGAAGAAAGGAGGGAAGGAAGGAAGAGGGGGAGGGCGGGGUACAUUUUAAAGGUGUUGGAAUGUGGCUCUUGCCUUACAGCUCUGACCUGUAAAUGAACACACGCCACUGAUAUAUAUAUAUAUAAAUAAAUAAAUAAAUAUUAUAUACGAUGAAAAGUCCCUAAAAAUAAUUGGAUUAUGUUGUUGGGAGGGAGAACGGCUAAUCUGCCUUGUGCUCAAUUCCCUUUUGGUUUUUUAGAGAAUUGACUGUAAAAAAUAAAAAUAACAUUUUUUAUGAUGCUAUAAAAAAUAGUUUUGUCUUGUUCAUAACCUCCUUUCUCUCAUCCUGUUUUUCUCUGUAUCAAGUUCAGAUAUUCAAGAGUUUAAAGACCUCUGUUUUUAUUUAAACAGUAGGAAUAAUAACAAUGGCUGGGCUGAUGGUCAGUUCAGUGAGUUGGAGCCUUUGAUUGCCCUGCCUCUGGGAGCCUGUCGACUUGUUACAUGAUUACUGAGUGAAAGAGAGCC